ACUGCCCGGUGUGUGUAUAAACGGCCGCAGUACCUUAACUGUGCUAAGGUAGCAUAAUCAUUAGCUCUUUAAUUGAGAGCCAGUAUGAAAGAUUUAACGAGAAACUAACUUUUUCCACUCUAAUUUAACUUACUAGUAGAGUUAAGAAGCUCUAACUCCUUAAAAAGACGAUAAGACCCUGAAAGCUUUAGCUUCUACACCUCACUAAGAUUUUAAAAAAAUAAAGCUUUUACUGGGGAGGUAAAUUUUAUUCAAAACAAAAUACUUUUAAACACUAUAAGUGAUUCUACCUAACAUCUGAUAAUAAAAUAAUAGCUACUUCAGGGAUAACAGCAUAAUAUCUCUUUAGAGUCCUUAUCGUUAGAGAUGAGUGUGACCUCGAUGUUGAAUUGAAAUCUCUUCCCAGAGCAGCCCCUGGGAGAAGAAAGCCUGUUCGUCUUUUAAUACUUCA
RNAcentral lists this ribosomal RNA (451 nucleotides) under Dynamene edwardsi. Its description in RNAcentral is "partial 16S ribosomal RNA". It matches the Rfam family "Bacterial large subunit ribosomal RNA", at positions 1858 to 2598 of the family's 2925-position model. The record is from RNAcentral. Lineage: Eukaryota; Metazoa; Arthropoda; Malacostraca; Isopoda; Sphaeromatidae.